This 452-nucleotide ribosomal RNA is filed under the name uncultured bacterium. RNAcentral's name for it is "bacterial SSU rRNA". It matches the Rfam family "Bacterial small subunit ribosomal RNA", at positions 335 to 798 of the family's 1533-position model. The record is from RNAcentral.
ACUCCUACGGGAGGCAGCAGUGGGGAAUAUUGCACAAUGGGCGCAAGCCUGAUGCAGCGACGCCGCGUGGGGAUGACGGCCUUCGGGUUGUAAACCUCUUUCACCAGGGACGAAGCGCAAGUGACGUGUCAGCCUGGAGAAGAAGCACGGCCAACUACGUGCCAGCAGCCGCGGUAAUACGUAGGGUGCGAGCGUUGUCCGGAAUUACUGGGCGUAAAGAGCUCGUAGGUGGUUUGUCGCGUUGUCCGUGAAAUCCCACGGCUUAACUGUGGGCGUGCGGGCGAUACGGGCAGACUGGAGUACUGCAGGGGAGACUGGAAUUCCUGGUGUAGCGGUGGAAUGCGCAGAUAUCAGGAGGAACACCGGUGGCGAAGGCGGGUCUCUGGGCAGUAACUGACGCUGAGGAGCGAAAGCGUGGGGAGCGAACAGGAUUAGAUACCCUGUAGGCUCUG